CUUUACAGGUGCUUAGAUGUGUGUAUGUGCUAUGUAACAGUCAGUGAACGCGAGUGAACACUUUUAAUUUUUAUUGCUUCAAAUGGGCGUAGCGGGCACUUGCUAUUCGUUGACAUUUUGCAAUGAAACGGUGUUUGAAAAAAGAAAGAGAGAAAGAAAACGCAUCGCACGCUUAUCGCGGCUUGCCGCUUGACAUAUUGUGAUUGGCCAGUGGUUCCACAUGAGGGUAUUUACGUGGUGCGUGAGCGCGAGUUGCUCGAGCAGCUCGAGCGCGAGCCACGUUCGACGUUCGCAUUUGGAACCCGGUUGUCGUGCGGUAUCGGCUAGAAGCUUCGAUUCUUCCUUCAGAGGCCGACGAAGCUCAGGACGAGAUGUCAACUGUCGCUGCAAAGCGUGAAAGGAGAAAGAAACCCAAGCCUAAGCUUUCGUUUGGCUCCUCAAGUGGUGCUUCCGGUAACCUGCCUUCCAAUAUGCAAGCAAACCUGCCAGAAUUGUUUGCACUUCUUAAGAUGCAACAAGUGCAAGGCGAUGACCCUCCGUGCGAAGUUAAUGGCAACGUGACGGGGUGGUCUGCUCACAAGCGCUCGCUGAAAGAUGAUCUCCUGAUGUAUUCUGGAACGACGCCAAAUGUUCCCAACAGCACUCGGUCAUCACCGGACAGCACCACAGUUUCGGCCGGUGUGGAAGAAGGAACAGUGGAGGAAGAGGUGGAGCCUGAGCCUCUGACUGAAGCAGAUGUAACUGAUAUCGUGAGGCAACUGCGAGAAGUCCUGCAGGAGAACGGCCCAUCACAGGAGGACGACCUGCUGAAGGCCCUGGCACCUGAGCAGGCUUGCCGGGUGCUGGCCACGUAUGACACGUUAACUGCCUUCCUGGACCGGCACCCGGGAUUCCGACAGCUCCACGAGGACCUGCACUCAUUCAUCUACUACCAGGACCCUGACGAUGAUGACGACGACGACUGCUACUGUCCCACUGUUCCACUUUACAACGGAGUCCCUGCACUGAAUGCUGGUGCCGAACACCAGCUGCACUCCCUGGUCACCGGUGACAGCGGACCCCGAAGUGUGCGAAGCUCAUGCAGCAGCACUUCAUACGAGUCUGCUAUGGAGGAGGAGGAGGACUAUGAGAAAGGAAAAGGCAAGAAGUAUGGCCGCAAGGACGGCUCCAGCCAGACACCCUCACGGCCUCGUUGCCAGUCACGAGCCCUGCAGGCAGUGCAGCUAACGUGCGAUGCCGAGGCCCAGACCCAAGGAUGGGACCCUGCCCAGUUCGCUGAGAUGGAGCUGCUGCUGAGGAAGCGAAACACUGAAAUCUCUCAACUACAAGAAAGGCUGGCAUCUGUGCAGGAAGAGCAUGCCCGCGAGAUGCAGCAGCUUCGUCUCAAAAUUGAGGAGCUGCAGAAGAGGCCACUAGUACCGCAAACACCACCGCCACAAAAUGAGCAUUCGACACUUGCGCAGGCGAACCAGGAGUUGAGGAGUAGCUGCUCCACUUCGGAUGAGGAGGAAGACGAGAGGCCUCGGGGAGUGGCCACCAUGAACGGGGAGGCUGAAGAGGAGGAAGAAGGGCAUGGCUGGCCUCAGGCACAGUCGCCUGCUGUGCGCCGUUCUCCACUUGCUCGUGCAGAGCCCGACGAAAAGCUGCAUGCACUUUCCAUCGAGCCCAAGCCUAAGCCAGCGCCCCCAGCUGAGCAGAAAGUCAAGAGGCCGGCAGAGCGGCCUCAGGUUCCCGAGUUCUAUGACCUCCACUGGCGCAUGGAGCAGGCUGCUGCUCCAUGCUCGGAUGUUGAGUCCAUGUGGUCCAGCCGGGGAGGAUCGCCUACGAAAAGCAAGACGGAGAUGCAGAUUGCAAAAAUAGUACACAUGGUUAAAAAGAAGCAGCCGGACUAUGCAGAGCAAGAGAUCCGCAGGCAUGUGGACUACCUGCGAAAGAUCCAGGGUGGGUUCUCCCGCAUGACCUUCAACUCCAUUGUAGCCCUUGUGCUUGGCCACAUGAAGAGCAACGCAGAGUGAGUGCGUGUGACAUCACUGCAGCCAGAGAUCUUGCAUUGACCUGUCUUCCUCUGACUGUGGUUUCAAAAGGAAAUAAGCACUGAAAGAGGAUUCUGCCCGUGAAGACAGCACCUCCACAUGCUGCAGCUCCAUCAAGGACACUGCACGUGGCCAUGCCCUUUAUUUUUUUUAAACUUUUUUUUUGCUUUUGUACUUUCAUUUGUUUUAAGCUAAACCUGUUUCUUUUUUCUGUUAACUUCUUUCUUUUGUAUUGUAAAAAAGAGGUGACUGCGCGGGUGGGCAGUCUUAUGCUUGAUGUACAGAACUUCCCGUUAAAUUUUUUUUUUUUUCGCCUGCCAUUCAUCAAGCAGGCAAACAUUAGUUAAGUUUCUACUGUACAGUGAUGCCAUGAACAUGUGGCACGUGUAAUGUUCUCUGGUGCUCUCUCACUCCAUCUGUGGGCACACCUGAAAAACAGGUGCGCCAUGCUCGUGCCUUGCAGUGCCAAUGCUCCCCUUGGCAGCCCGGUACUUCUCGCCAGUGUGUUCCAAGAAGCCUCUCGCCCCUCCUCGCCAGUGAUCUCAACAACGAACUGGUCUCGCAACAUUUUUUUUUUUGCCCCAUGCGAUCCUUUGCCACGUGCACAGGCAUGUGGCAAAGUAUUAGUAUGUUAGAAAUGGCUACGCUUCACCUGGCCUGACCUUGCCGCAGAAGGGAGCGUGCAGGUUUUGAUUGAUAUUGUUAAAAAGAAAAACAAAGAAAAUAAACACUUGUGUAAGAUACUUUUGUUUGGCCUUGCUUAGCUGAGGGCCAUCGUAUUGUGCACAGGGGUUUGUGCAGUAUAUUCACAUUUUUUUGUGAUAUCUUUAUGAUAAAGGAAUGUGAUAAAUACCGGCCUUGUACAAUGCAAUUCACUUGUAAAGAGAACACUUUAAUUUGCAAGCGGUGCUUUAAUACAAGUGGUGCUCACGUAGUUUGGCUUCAAGUGCGAACUGAAGCUAUGUUGAUUCUCUGCUAAGGUGUCCAGGCAGGUGCUAGUGCCAACCACAGGUUUUGUGCUCAUCUCUAACAGGGGACUGCACUGUAUGUGGCCAUUUUGGGUUGAGUACAAUUGUACAUAAUGCUACGACUUUGGCAGUGGAAGUAUUGUGCCUGAACCUACAUGUUGCUAUGCCUAUAGUAUUUGGAAAAUGAUAGCAAUAAGUGCCUAGUCUUCCAUAUGUAGGGUCCUUCGUUUUUGGGUAAGACCCAAUACUAUUUUCUCGAAACUGCACUUUACGUGGGCAUUUGGGUUUCAUCCUACAAGUGUAUGUUAUGGGUCAACUUUUGCAAUGAGAAAGUAUUGUGAUUGAAACUGCAUGGGGCUAUGUGUAUAUCGUGAUCGGAAAAUGAUGCAAGUGCCUAGUUGGGCCCUUCGUUUUUAGGUAAAACCUAAUAAUAGUAUUUUUUCAAACCCUGAAUAAUUUUUGCCUCUGUAAAAGGCAAGAAUAAAUGCAGGUUGCAAAACACUACAUUGCAUGCCUUGUGUGAAGAAGUGGUCAAGAUAUCAUUCAUGAAUGUGAUACAUGCUUUCUUUAUGCUUAACACUCAACAAAAACUGGAUAUAUAUAUAUAUAUAUAUAUAUAUAUAUAUAUAUAUAUAUAUAUAUAUAUAUAUAUAUAUGUAUUAAGCGCCUGCCAGCCUUGAGUGAAGCAAAGCUUGUUGCACUUUAGUAGUUGCUUUUACAUUAAUGCAAUGAUGGCGCACAGCAUUUUUGGUGCGUCAAGCAUGCAGAAUGGUAGCUGCCCUGUUGAAAGGAAGUUCUCUCAACUAAGGGUGCUAGAUUUGGUUGCAGGUAUUCCAUACAAAAAUAUUUUCUUGCUGUGGCUCGCAGCUUGAAACAGUAAACAGGAUAAUAGAAACGGACGAUAGGCCAUGCAGGUGCACAGGUGCUCAUGCACGUUAACAUUAUUUAUCAUAUGUUCCUAUUGGCGAUUUUGCAUUAGUGUUCAAAGACAGCCAGUUGCUUGUGUUGGGCUGCCAAAAGCUAUUUGGAAAUAACUGCCCUUCGCAUCUAUAGGCUAGUGUCACUGUUAAAAAGUGCACCUGAUCAGCUUCAGUGUGUCGGAUCAAUCAUAGGAGCAGGCUGAUUUUUUACCCUUGAAUUUCAACCAUCAAUCCCAAGAAUGGACCCUGUGUAUACAUGCUUUGGAAUAGUGCCUGGGUGGAUUUCUUCCUCUACAUUGGUUGAACUGUUUAAUAAACAUUUUUCCUAUUGUCGUUAUCUGGUAUUGCUGCUUGGCUGCUGCUCGCAACUUUCACUGUGGCAUGAAGGUUAACACAUUGUCAUUAUCCAACUGUAUAGCAAAGAAUGCGCUACCUGCAGCUGUCCUUGCAUCCAUAACUGCAGUGCCAGUGACCCACUCAGUGCUACGAAAAAUUUAGGAAAAGCGUAGCUGCGGUGAAGAAUAUGCUACCUGCAGGUGUCCUUGCAUCCAUAGCUGCAGUGCCAGUGACCUGUUUAGUGCUAUGAAAAAUGUGGGAAAAGCAUAGCUGUGGUGAAAGCUGGCCGGGUGAUAAUACAAGGAAGAGGGGCGAACAGAACACCUCGCACUGUAAAACUGGUAGGUCAUUUCUUGAGGCUAGGCUGUGAAAUGGUUAUUCUCUCCGUUAAAGGGCCCCUCACCAGGUUUGACCAUUUUGAGCUGACAAGGAAGGAAAUCAACUUUAUUCGAGGUCCUGCAGGCCACGAGAGCUUCGGGCUCUCUUGGAGUGGGCGUCUCCCACGACGGAACCAGGAGGUUGAGUUUCCUGGUGGUGGCGUGGACUUCGCUCCGGAUUGCUUCCUCAAGCUGACAAGCGCAGAGCAUACAUUGCGCGAUAAUGGUCGUGUCUGCAAAGUAUAUAUUGCAUCGCUACCCGCCUUGAGAAGAUAUCAAAUUUCAAACAGAGCGGCGUUUUUUUCUUGCGACCGCCGCGCACCAAACCGGAAGGUGACGUAGUCGUGCCCUUGCGUCUACGUGGUCGUGUCCGGAGUGUGACGUCGCUCGUGGUGACGCGGGACUUGAUCAGUUAUCUCUGCGAUCUGUUGCUUGAAUUGACGAAGUUUAGAGAAAUAAAACAAACUGAUUGUC
This is an RNA transcript of Dermacentor andersoni, 5108 nucleotides long. It is a transcript of the gene named slow as molasses, with no coding region annotated. The record is from RefSeq and is a predicted model, not a curated record. NCBI's taxonomy places the organism in Eukaryota, Metazoa, Arthropoda, Arachnida, Ixodida, Ixodidae.